RNAcentral lists this long non-coding RNA (846 nucleotides) under Canis lupus familiaris (dog). RNAcentral's name for it is "lncRNA (ENSCAFG00000032836.3)". The record is from RNAcentral. Lineage: Eukaryota; Metazoa; Chordata; Mammalia; Carnivora; Canidae.
ACAAUUUUCACUGCAGCAUGGAAGUGAUGAUGAAUUAAUAUUUAUUAUAAUUAUUUCUCAGAUAAUUGCCGUUUAUAUUUAUCUUGAUUCCGCCUCACAAAUGUAUUUAUUUCAAAAACAUUUUUGUUCUAGAUGGCUAGUGGUUUCUCCAAAUUAUCUUAUGACCUGAGACACCAUUGUCACUCUCAAGUUUAACAAGAAAUACAGGUGCCAAGACAGGAAGAUUUAAGAAAAGGUAGAUAUAAUGUAUGGAAAAACAAUACAAAACCCACUACAAACAUUCACUGAGAAUUUAUAUGCCAAAUAUGGAGUAAAGACUGUUUUUUUUUCCUGAUUAUUAGUUUUUUAAUACAUGCAGAGGAAUAUUACCAGUAAGAGCUUCCUUUCAACUCCUUAUGCUGGAGGUAUCAUGCAUCAAUAAUUUCAUAUUUGUUUCUAUGAAAACCAAGGAGAUUGGAACGUGUAAAGAUAAAGUACGUAGAAAUUAAUACAACAUUUCAUAUUCACAUUUACCAACAGACUUUUUGGCUUUACUCCUAAUUAAAUUCCUUUCAGUAAACAUCUAAUGGGCCCCUGCAAGGUACUGAAUAAUACAAUGAAACAUUCUUAUUACUUAGAGAUGUAGGUUGUAGACUCAUUGAAAUGGUCUCUCUUGGAGUUAUAUGUGACAUCAAAUAGCCGUGCUGAUUUGUUUUUUAUUGGAUUACUGGUUGCUUGGUAUUAUUAAAUAGCAAGGAAAUGAUUCUCUACUGAAGACCAGUGUGAUACCCUCUGACACAAUGGAAAAAAUGUAACUUUGUAGUAAUGUUGAUCUACCCCUAAGGAGGCUUUAGAUAUUUUUAUUUU